Molecule: ribosomal RNA, 485 nt
Filed under: uncultured bacterium
Lineage: Bacteria
Description: partial 16S ribosomal RNA
Rfam family: Bacterial small subunit ribosomal RNA
Source: RNAcentral
GACGAACGCUGGCGGCGUGCUUAACACAUGCAAGUCGAACGGUGAAAGCGGAGCUUGCUCCGCUGGAUCAGUGGCGAACGGGUGAGUAACACGUGGGCAACCUGCCCCUCACUUCGGGAUAACUCCGGGAAACCGGGGCUGAUACCGGAUAUGACCUCCUUGGGCAUCCUUGGAGGUGGAAAGUUUUUCGGUGAGGGAUGGGCCCGCGGCCUAUCAGCUUGUUGGUGAGGGAGUGGCUCACCAAGGCGACGACGGGUAGCCGGCCUGAGAGGGCGACCGGCCACACUGGGCCUGAGACACGGCCCAGACUCCUACGGGAGGCAGCAGUGGGGAAUAUUGCGCAAUGGGCGAAAGCCUGACGCAGCAACGCCGCGUGCGGGAUGACGGCCUUCGGGUUGUAAACCGCUUUCAGCAGGGAAGAAGCCGCAAGGUGACGGUACCUGCAGAAGAAGCACCGGCUAACUACGUGCCAGCCGCCGCCGUAA